This 706-nucleotide ribosomal RNA is filed under the name Vibrio sp. MR04-26. Its description in RNAcentral is "bacterial SSU rRNA". It matches the Rfam family "Bacterial small subunit ribosomal RNA", at positions 85 to 787 of the family's 1533-position model. Lineage: Bacteria; Pseudomonadati; Pseudomonadota; Gammaproteobacteria; Vibrionales; Vibrionaceae. The record is from RNAcentral.
UGGGCGUCGAGCGGCGGACGGGUGAGUAAUGCCUAGGAAAUUGCCUUGAUGUGGGGGAUAACCAUUGGAAACGAUGGCUAAUACCGCAUAAUGCCUACGGGCCAAAGAGGGGGAUCUUCGGACCUCUCGCGUCAAGAUAUGCCUAGGUGGGAUUAGCUAGUUGGUGAGGUAAUGGCUCACCAAGGCGACGAUCCCUAGCUGGUCUGAGAGGAUGAUCAGCCACACUGGAACUGAGACACGGUCCAGACUCCUACGGGAGGCAGCAGUGGGGAAUAUUGCACAAUGGGCGAAAGCCUGAUGCAGCCAUGCCGCGUGUAUGAAGAAGGCCUUCGGGUUGUAAAGUACUUUCAGUUGUGAGGAAGGGUGUGUAGUUAAUAGCUGCNCAUCUUGACGUUAGCAACAGAAGAAGCACCGGCUAACUCCGUGCCAGCAGCCGCGGUAAUACGGAGGGUGCGAGCGUUAAUCGGAAUUACUGGGCGUAAAGCGCAUGCAGGUGGUUCAUUAAGUCAGAUGUGAAAGCCCGGGGCUCAACCUCGGAACUGCAUUUGAAACUGGUGAACUAGAGUGCUGUAGAGGGGGGUAGAAUUUCAGGUGUAGCGGUGAAAUGCGUAGAGAUCUGAAGGAAUACCAGUGGCGAAGGCGGCCCCCUGGACAGACACUGACACUCAGAUGCGAAAGCGUGGGGAGCAAACAGGAUUAGAUACCC